UACGUAGGGUGCAAGCGUUGUCCGGAAUUAUUGGGCGUAAAGAGCUCGUAGGCGGUCUGUCGCGUCGAAUGUGAAAACCCGGGGCUCAACCCCGGGCCUGCAUUCGAUACGGGCAGACUAGAGUUCGGUAGGGGAGUCUGGAAUUCCUGGUGUAGCGGUGAAAUGCGCAGAUAUCGGGAGGAACACCUGCGGUGUAGACGGCUUUCUGGACCAUUGCUGACGCUGAGACACGAAAGCGUGGGUAGCAAACAGG
Molecule: ribosomal RNA, 253 nt
Filed under: uncultured bacterium
Lineage: Bacteria
Description: partial 16S ribosomal RNA
Rfam family: Bacterial small subunit ribosomal RNA
Source: RNAcentral